GAAUUUGAUCUUGGUUCAGGAUGAACGCUAGCUACAGGCUUAACACAUGCAAGUCGAGGGGCAGCAUGAUCGAAGCUUGCUUUGAUGAUGGCGACCGGCGCACGGGUGAGUAACGCGUAUCCAACCUUCCCUAUAGUAGAGAAUAGCCCGGCGAAAGUCGGAUUAAUGCUCUAUGUUGUAUUUAGAAGACAUCUGAAGAAUACCAAAGGUUUACCGCUAUAGGAUGGGGAUGCGUCUGAUUAGGUAGUAGGCGGGGUAACGGCCCACCUAGCCGACGAUCAGUAGGGGUUCUGAGAGGAAGGUCCCCCACAUUGGAACUGAGACACGGUCCAAACUCCUACGGGAGGCAGCAGUGAGGAAUAUUGGUCAAUGGACGGAAGUCUGAACCAGCCAAAGUAGCGUGCAGGAUGACGGCCCUAUGGGUUGUAAACUGCUUUUAUAUAGGGAUAAAGUCGGGGACGUGUCCCCGUUUGUAGGUACUAUAUGAAUAAGGACCGGCUAAUUCCGUGCCAGCCGCGGC
Molecule: ribosomal RNA, 520 nt
Filed under: uncultured bacterium
Lineage: Bacteria
Description: bacterial SSU rRNA
Rfam family: Bacterial small subunit ribosomal RNA
Source: RNAcentral